Molecule: ribosomal RNA, 565 nt
Filed under: Vibrio sp. KR07-43
Lineage: Bacteria; Pseudomonadati; Pseudomonadota; Gammaproteobacteria; Vibrionales; Vibrionaceae
Description: bacterial SSU rRNA
Rfam family: Bacterial small subunit ribosomal RNA
Source: RNAcentral
CCAGGUGGGAUUAGCUAGUUGGUGAGGUAAUGGCUCACCAAGGCGACGAUCCCUAGCUGGUCUGAGAGGAUGAUCAGCCACACUGGAACUGAGACACGGUCCAGACUCCUACGGGAGGCAGCANUGGGGAAUAUUGCACAAUGGGCGCAAGCCUGAUGCAGCCAUGCCGCGUGUAUGAAGAAGGCCUUCGGGUUGUAAAGUACUUUCAGUCGUGAGGAAGGCGUUGAAGUUAAUANCUUCAUCGUUUGACGUUAGCGACAGAAGAAGCACCGGCUAACUCCGUGCCAGCAGCCGCGGUAAUACGGAGGGUGCGAGCGUUAAUCGGAAUUACUGGGCGUAAAGCGCAUGCAGGUGGUUUGUUAAGUCAGAUGUGAAAGCCCGGGGCUCAACCUCGGAACCGCAUUUGAAACUGGCAGGCUAGAGUACUGUAGAGGGGGGUAGAAUUUCAGGUGUAGCGGUGAAAUGCGUANAGAUCUGAAGGAAUACCAGUGNNGAAGGCGGCCCCCUGNACAGAUACUGACACUCANAUGCGAAAGCGUGGGGAGCAAACAGGANUANAUACCCU